RNAcentral lists this ribosomal RNA (1000 nucleotides) under Halomonas sp. JSM 114062. RNAcentral describes it as "bacterial SSU rRNA". It matches the Rfam family "Bacterial small subunit ribosomal RNA", at positions 467 to 1469 of the family's 1533-position model. Lineage: Bacteria; Pseudomonadati; Pseudomonadota; Gammaproteobacteria; Oceanospirillales; Halomonadaceae. The record is from RNAcentral.
GAAGGACAUCACUCGCAGAAGAAGCACCGGCUAACUCCGUGCCAGCAGCCGCGGUAAUACGGAGGGUGCAAGCGUUAAUCGGAAUUACUGGGCGUAAAGCGCGCGUAGGCGGCUUGAUAAGCCGGUUGUGAAAGCCCCGGGCUCAACCUGGGAACGGCAUCCGGAACUGUCAGGCUAGAGUGCAGGAGAGGAAGGUAGAAUUCCCGGUGUAGCGGUGAAAUGCGUAGAGAUCGGGAGGAAUACCAGUGGCGAAGGCGGCCUUCUGGACUGACACUGACGCUGAGGUGCGAAAGCGUGGGUAGCAAACAGGAUUAGAUACCCUGGUAGUCCACGCCGUAAACGAUGUCGACUAGCCGUUGGGGUCCUCGAGACCUUUGUGGCGCAGUUAACGCGAUAAGUCGACCGCCUGGGGAGUACGGCCGCAAGGUUAAAACUCAAAUGAAUUGACGGGGGCCCGCACAAGCGGUGGAGCAUGUGGUUUAAUUCGAUGCAACGCGAAGAACCUUACCUACUCUUGACAUCGAGCGAACUUUCCAGAGAUGGAUUGGUGCCUUCGGGAACGCUCAGACAGGUGCUGCAUGGCCGUCGUCAGCUCGUGUUGUGAAAUGUUGGGUUAAGUCCCGUAACGAGCGCAACCCUUGUCCCUAUUUGCCAGCGAUUCGGUCGGGAACUCUAGGGAGACUGCCGGUGACAAACCGGAGGAAGGUGGGGACGACGUCAGGUCAUCAUGGCCCUUACGAGUAGGGCUACACACGUGCUACAAUGGCCGGUACAAUGGGCUGCAAUCCCGCGAGGGGGAGCUAAUCUCAUAAAGCCGGUCUCAGUCCGGAUCGGAGUCUGCAACUCGACUCCGUGAAGUCGGAAUCGCUAGUAAUCGUGCAUCAGAAUGGCACGGUGAAUACGUUCCCGGGCCUUGUACACACCGCCCGUCACACCAUGGGAGUGGACUGCACCAGAAGUGGUUAGCCUAACUUCGGAGGGCGAUCACCACGGUGUGGUU